AAUGAACGCUGGCGGCGCGCCUAACACAUGCAAGUCGAGCGAGAAAGCUUCUUCGGAAGUGAGUACAGCGGCGGACGGUUGAGUAACACGUGGGAAUUUUCCCUUCAGUGAAGAAUACUCUUGAGAAAUCGAGAUUAAUACUGCAUACGUCUCUUACGAGAGAAAGGUGGCUUCUUUGCUACCGCUGAAGGAUAAGCCUGCGGACUAUCAGCUAGUUGGUAGGGUAAAGGCCUACCAAGGCUAUGACGGUUAGCCGGCCUGAGAGGGUGUACGGCCAGACUGGAACUUAGACACGGUCCAG
RNAcentral lists this ribosomal RNA (301 nucleotides) under uncultured bacterium. RNAcentral's name for it is "bacterial SSU rRNA". It matches the Rfam family "Bacterial small subunit ribosomal RNA", at positions 29 to 334 of the family's 1533-position model. The record is from RNAcentral.